RNAcentral lists this ribosomal RNA (482 nucleotides) under Lumbricus rubellus (humus earthworm). RNAcentral's name for it is "partial 16S ribosomal RNA". It matches the Rfam family "Bacterial large subunit ribosomal RNA", at positions 1830 to 2597 of the family's 2925-position model. The record is from RNAcentral. Lineage: Eukaryota; Metazoa; Annelida; Clitellata; Crassiclitellata; Lumbricidae.
UGCUCUAAGUAAAAACAAUUUAGAGUAACUCCUGCCCAGUGAUAAUUUCAACGGCCGCGGUAUCCUAACCGUGCAAAGGUAGCAUAAUCACUUGCCCAUUAAUUGUGGGCUAGAAUGAAAGGAUUAACGAAAUAAAAGCUGUCUCUAUAAGAUAUCUAAAAAUUACCCUUUAACCGAAGAGUGUUAAAUAACGUCGAAGGACAAGAAGACCCUAUAGAGCUUAAUUAAAACAAAUACACAAAAUUUACUAAAAUUCGGUUGGGGCGACCAGGGAAAUUAUAAAUCAUCCCUAAAUAAAAGAUAAAUCAAUCUAAAUACUGACCCUUAAUCAAGAUCACUAGAACAAGCUACCUUAGGGAUAACAGGCUAAUCCUACUAGAGAGUUCUUAUCAAUAGUGGGGUUUGGCACCUCGAUGUUGGCUUAGGGAAUCUAUGCGGCGCAAAAGUCACAUAAAGAUGGUUUGUUCAACCAAUAACACCCU